This 91-nucleotide transfer RNA is filed under the name Phocoenobacter skyensis. RNAcentral's name for it is "Pasteurella skyensis tRNA_Opal_TCA". It matches the Rfam family "tRNA". Rfam says of the family: Transfer RNA (tRNA) molecules are approximately 80 nucleotides in length. The record is from RNAcentral. Lineage: Bacteria; Pseudomonadati; Pseudomonadota; Gammaproteobacteria; Pasteurellales; Pasteurellaceae.
GCGGACGUAGUGUAAUGGUAGCACGCAGGUUUUCAGUACCUGAAAUUCCGAUUGCCCUCGGGUAGUGCGGGUUCGAUUCCCGUCGUCCGCU